Long non-coding RNA from Micropterus dolomieu (smallmouth bass), 4086 nucleotides. RefSeq lists it as uncharacterized. Lineage: Eukaryota; Metazoa; Chordata; Actinopteri; Centrarchiformes; Centrarchidae. The record is from RefSeq and is a predicted model, not a curated record. The transcript has 2 exons.
GCAAAGUGAAAUCUCCAUUAGUUUGACGCCUGCAUGCACGCUUCUCUUCGACUGCCUUUCUGCAGCCACUCCAUCUCUACAACUUGAGUUUUGUCUAUUCAAGAGAAACCAGGGGUUUCCAAGGCUUCACAUUGAGGAACAACGGCAGCGCACAGCCAACGCGGGCCGGAGCUCAGAACUGGAGAGCAGAAUGUAUGCUGAACAGGGACGGUUGUAGUUGAGUGCCUGUACACGAACCAACCUGCCUGUGUUGUCUCUAAUAGUUUGUUCACAGGGCUGUCUGUCAGCUCGUAUGCUUGCGGGCUGUUGUCAGACGGCUGUCCUUCAGAGUCUGACUGAAAACUGCUGCGUGAGAACUGAGUGUGCACAACAGUCAUUUCAUAUUACCGUCCUUGUGAGUGUGAUGCUAUCUGACUCCUGAGGUUUAAAAGUGGCACACUGACAAUUGUACCUGACCUCGUUUGCAAAGAGAAUGGGAUGAUAAAUUCAUGCAUUAUUUUACUGCAGUAUUUUGAUUGUAAAGUCAAAGCCGCUUAUCUUAAAAGGCAAUAAACCAACGUCUGCAGGGCCUCAGUUUUGCACUGACAAUAGUUGCUAUAGCUCAGAAACAGUGAUGUUGCAGUGAUGAUAUUUUUAGGAGAAGGUGCUGUAAGGGUUUCAGCCUGGGCCGUGUCGGGGCAUGUCACCCCGCACCCUGCACAGUGCUCCCCCAUGUUAUGUAAGCACCCUUUCUCGCCAGGCCCAGGGUGAAAUAUGUGCAUGGCUGUGCCACUGCAUUGACAUGACACUGGAUUAGAGUAGAGUGUCUGAGGAAGCCCCAAAAAUAACUCCCAUAAUCCUCUAAAAACAUCAUCACUAGGGGUUUGAAUGGCCCACUUGUAGGCUGGAAAAACGUGCCACAGCAGUAGCAUGCUACCAAAAUAAAAAACAGGGCACCCAUCCUUAAUAAUACACAUAAUACCACACCUUUGUGUCAGAUUAAAAAGGAGCUUGCCCGUGGCUGUCUGGAAAGUUGUCAGAUUCCAUAAACACACUUAGUACUUAACUUGUCUGGGCAUCUGUAUGAAACUUAAGGUGGUAGAGUGUGUCUAAACAUGACAAUAGAAAAUAAAUAAAUGCUACGAAUGGUUUUGCUGUUGUUGCAAUAGUGAGGCAGUAUUCUUUAUAUAACAAGGUUUUGUUGCUUUGUUGUGGGUUGAUGGAGACACGUGGGCACUCACAAGUGUAAGUGUACAGUAGAUAUUCUAGUUAAGUAUUUGAAGUGAUCUGUGUUGGUGGUGAAGUAUUUUCAAUGUGAAAGAGCCCGCAUAGAUAAUAAGGAAGUCUAAUGACCAAGAGUCCAUCUGAAGUCCUAAUCAGUUUCAGAAAUGUAAUUUAAGGUACAGUUAGAUGCUGAUGAGCAGUGCUGCAGUCCGUCUCUGUCCUGGGUACUUCACUGAGUCAGCUGCUGUGUGACCUCUUGCAUCACUUGUCCAUUAGGAACAGUGAUGACAUAAUCCUAAUAAAUGUCAAGCGUGAAUCUGAGCCAAUGAAUAUUACAUUGAUCAAAACAGAAUGUGGAAAGUGUGUGGAGAACUGUGGAACUUCAGUGUGCCUUCAGCAGUGCUGGAGGACAGCAACAUGGAGCAUUAAAGAAAGCACAAACAUACAGUGGAUUGUCUCCUUAGGUGUGUUUCUGUCGUUUAUUCUUUCAUUCAUAUGUGAUUUUUGUUCAUAUCCUUCUGUGUUACACUUCAUUAUCAUUGAUACUGCCUCUAGCUUUGGACUUUACCUGGUUAGAUAGCAGAUUUGUCCUGCGUAAUUCACAUACGUUCAGCUGAUUAUGUGACGACUGCCACCAAAUUGCAUAGUAAAUAUUGAAUAAAUUAUAGGUUUACAGUAGUGCCUGUUUGUGCUUUACAGUGUGACUAAGGUUUGGGACACCCAGCUGGUAUUCUUUACUGACAACAUCAUUUUCACUGUGGGACUUUGUGGCAGUAGAAACUUGAAACUACAAAUGCAGGAGAAAGAUUGAUUGUCAUUGUUCCUGAAUACUAUUAACAACCUUUUGCUGUGGAUUUUAUUAGAGCCACAACGGUUAAUCGAUUUAGUGUUCAACUAUUUUCAUAAUCGAAUAAUCAGUUUGAGUAAUGUGAAAAUUCUCUUAUUCCAGCUUCUUAAAUGUGGAUAUUUUCUGGUUUCUUUACUCCCCGAUGACCGUUAACUGAAUAUCUUUGGUUUUUGGACAAAACAAGACAUUUGAGGACGUCAUCUUGAGCUUUGUGAAACACUGAUCGCAUUUUUUCACCAAUUGUAUAGACCAAACAACUAAUCGUAAAAAUAAUCGACAAAUUAAUCGACAGUGGAAAAUGAUCAUUAGUUGCAGCCCUAGAUUGUAUACCACAUGGCAUCACUGUGCUGUUCUGUCCAGCUGAUGGGGAGCUUGUAAGCGCUCUCCCAAAUGCAAAUCAGCUUAAGGAGAAAGCGAAUGUUGGAUAACGAUGUUGGAUUUAAUCUCUGUCCUGCCUCCCAGGAUGCAGCUGCCACGGGUGUCCUUGUAAGGAAAAUAACCUUCACAGCUUGACCAUGUCGUUCAUAAAAUCAUAUUUACAUAGGUCAAUGAUAGUUUACAUACUGUAUGCUCCCUCAGAAGUUAAAAGGUGUGUGGAUCAGAUGCAAAUUGCAUCAGGGACACAGUGGAUGACACAUUAUCAUGUUCUGAAAUAAGACAGUGUUGCCUUGGGAGCCGGCCUCUGCUGUCAGAACCUUUCCGUCUGCUGCACGCACACAUAAACACACGCCCUCCCUUUUUAGACAAACACGUCUGUGGUCCACUGUCUGUUUGAAUCUCGUUUGCUCAGGUCACACCCUAUGUCACAUGCAUUGAGACACAACAGAGAAGCCGGCUCAUGACAGAUCCAAAAUUUAAUUUCAGCCUGGUCAAGCUCUGUUCAUUAUCUGUAAAAAUUUCAGGUAAGGUGAAAAACUAUUUUUAUUAUUUUUUUUUGUCAGGAUAGUUUUUGAUGUCAAGUAUUGUUUGUUGUUGUAAUACUCAUUUCGGCCACAAGAGGCUGAAGUGCAUCGCUACCUCAUUUUCUAAAUAGGACUAAAAGCAUUCCUUUUUUUUCUUUCUCCCAAGUGAAAUGCAGAUUAAAAUAAAUUUAUUCCCAAACAAAAAACAUGACAGUAAUGUUACAUACCUUGAUAACCCACAAUAUAUGUACAUUGUGUUUAGCGUGCAUGGAGAAGUUAAAAUUCAAUUGGUUAUAUGUGUGUAUAUGUAAAUAUUAAUGCUUUAGUCUAUUGAAAGGAAAUAAAAAUCUGCCAAAAGCGCUUUUACAGAUGAAGAAAACUAUUUGAGGAACUUAGGAAGCCUGGCAAAACCUUUUUAUUUUCCCUACCUAUUCCUAAGUCUAAACAGAUUUUUCUGCUGGAUAAUGUGAGAAGAUGAUUCAAACUUCAAAUGCAGCAACCUGCCGUCCACAAUAACAAUAUUAACCUCUUUAUGCCCUGAAGACGAGUGAGCAUGUCACUAUAUAUCAUGUUCUUUUGUUCUCAUUGUGUACACCGUUGUGACUUAUUUCUGAGCCGCAUGCUGUAGAUUCACUGCACACUCAGUAAAAUGUAAAGUGUUUGUUUCAUGCCUUCAUGUUGACAUGGAAAACUAGCCUUUGUUUUUAUAUUUUGAGGUCAAAUGUGUAUUUAACUGACUAGACUCUAUAUUGAUUUCGGCAUAUUUCAGUCACUCUUACCCACGUGAUCAUAUGAUAUGACUGUUACAUAGGUGUUACAUAAUAGGAGAGUUUUCCAGAUAGCUCUUUAUCUACCAUUUGUUAGUAGCUGUGUACCACUAUGUGGCAUACAUGGCUAACUUCAGGUGUAAAGGAGCACAGCAUUUUACUGUAUGUAGACUGCUGCGCUUUGCAAUCACAAGUGUCCGUUUGAAAUAUAUUUAUAUUUUAACUCAGUGUUUUGCAGCAUUGUCCUAAUCUAAAUUUGCUGCCAGUCUAAAUGAAACUGUCAUCCUGCAUACUCAAGUGACCUGUGUGAUUGAAUCUACUGUUUGCGUCUCUACCAUAGACUGUAUAUAAAAAGGUCUACAUUGUA